CCUAUGGGUGGCUGCAGUGGGGAAUAUUGGACAAUGGGGGCAACCCUGAUCCAGCCAUGCCGCGUGUGUGAAGAAGGCCCUCGGGUUGUAAAGCACUUUCAGUGAGGAAGAACGCCUGGUGGUUAAUACCCAUCAGGAAAGACAUCACUCACAGAAGAAGCACCGGCUAACUCCGUGCCAGCAGCCGCGGUAAUACGGAGGGUGCGAGCGUUAAUCGGAAUUACUGGGCGUAAAGCGCGCGUAGGUGGCUUGAUAAGCCGGUUGUGAAAGCCCCGGGCUCAACCUGGGAACGGCAUCCGGAACUGUCAAGCUAGAGUGCAGGAGAGGAAGGUAGAAUUCCCGGUGUAGCGGUGAAAUGCGUAGAGAUCGGGAGGAAUACCAGUGGCGAAGGCGGCCUUCUGGACUGACACUGACACUGAGGUGCGAAAGCGUGGGUAGCAAACAGGAUUAGAUACCCCGGUAGUC
This 465-nucleotide ribosomal RNA is filed under the name Vreelandella stevensii. Its description in RNAcentral is "partial 16S ribosomal RNA". It matches the Rfam family "Bacterial small subunit ribosomal RNA", at positions 338 to 795 of the family's 1533-position model. The record is from RNAcentral. Lineage: Bacteria; Pseudomonadati; Pseudomonadota; Gammaproteobacteria; Oceanospirillales; Halomonadaceae.